UUAGUAAUACAUAUUAAAACCAUCAAAAAUAAUUAAGCGGCCUUAUUACAUUUAAAAACCCAAAACUUCAAAUGUAAAUAAAAGGAUGUCCAGUUCACCAGAAGAAAAUCAAACUUUCAGAACGGGUGGCCACUCCGAAUUCCCUCACAGCUCCAAGCCCACUAUGGUUGGGGAUUUCCUGCGUGGAUGAAAAUAAAAGGGGUGAGUUUGGGGAAACUCAGUGUGUAAGGAAAACCCAUUCAAAGCCCAAGUCAGCUCAAGCCUAUUGGGCCUAAGCCCAUUCAGGCAACAGUGGUACUGGGCCAGAGCCCUUUUUAGAUUACAAUAAACUGGGCCUUAGCCCCUUAUUCAGAUAACAGUAUGGCCCAUAGGCCCAUUUCAAAAUACAUGCAACAUCAGUAAACAUAUGCAAGCCCAUUUGGGGAGACUACUCAACCCACCAACCACUACACUCCACCCGUACCAGCCAUACACUCCAUGUCGGGAAUAGCUCAACCCACCCAGCCCAACACUCCACAGUUGCAGCCUUGCUGCUCAGUUAACAGUAAAUUGAGGCAAAGCCUCUAGUACGUGGACAAGCCACUUUUAGUACUUCCUCCAUCAAUAUCCCAGUCCCAUGCAUCAGAUAAUAACAACAUGGCAUGCAGUAAAUAACAACAGUCAAACAUGCAUUUAGGUCAAUUUAACCCUAGGGGUAUUUCGGUAAUUUAUCUCUUAGGGGUAAAACUGUAAAUUUUCCACUUUUAAAGGUAUUUCAGUAAUUUAUCUGUUUUGGGGUUUUUCAUGCAUAUUCCUACUUUUCACGUACUAACAGAAUCACGUAUCGAGGGUUCUUACCGAAUUGGGCCCGUUGGCCCAUCAUUCCAAUUUUGGCCCAUUAAGCCCAAAAAUAUCGAGGGCACAGAAAUCAUGCACUUUGCAGUCCAAACAUUGCAGCUUACCAAAAAUAGUAAUCGAUUUACCUCACGAGCAUUCGCACACUUGCAAAUCUACAAAAUAUCGGUUUUCAGCAUUUCGGCUUUUCGGCUUUUGCCAAUCUAGACUAAGAAAGAGGGUGUUAGUUACACACCUGUUUGCGACGAUAUGCUGACGAGAUCCACACACGAACCGCCUACAAUUGGAUUACUAACAAGUUAAUCUAACUAUUCAAAUACAAACUACGUAUUAACCCCUUACAAUAUUCGGCCAACCACACCUACAGAUCAUAGUAAGCUUAUAAGAAAUCAAUAAGCAACUCAUUAACAAAUUUUUGUCAAUGUUUACCACAUAAUCAUAAUUUCACUGCAAGCUGUCUUCCUGAGCAACAGUCACUAAAUUAUUUAUAACUGGAGCUACGAAACUCCAAAUCAAGUUCCGUUAAUUUUCCCUGAAAAUAGACUCAUAUAUCUUCUAUCCAUAAAAUUUUAAGAAUUUUUGGUUUAGCCAAUCAAUACCGGAUUUUUCUCAAAGUUUCCCAUGUUUCACUGUUUGACUAAUCUGACCACUCUUCAUUACGAAUCAAAUUUCUCAUUUUACAGAAUUCAAAAUAUGUUCUCGUUUAUUUCAUUUGAAACUAGACUCAUUAAGCUUUAAUUACAUAAUUUAUUCAGCUCCUAAUUCAUCUCCCACAAUUUAUGGUGAUUUUCCAAAAUCAUGUUACUGCUGCUGUCCCAAGCAGAUUUAUUACCAAAUCACUCUUUCACACACCUAUCUUGCAUGCUUGUUAUUUAAACAUGUAUAUCACCAAUCAAUCAUCACAUAUCUAUGAUUUUACUUAAGUAUAAUCUCCAUUUCAUCAUUUUAAAGCACAACAUGUUAGCCGAUUUUUCCCUUUAGCAUCUAAGGCACAUGCAUGCUCAUUUGUUUGGCUCAACUUCACCUAUCUUCUAUUUUUCAUCAAAAGAACAUGAAACAACAACCAUUUCCUUCAUUUUAAUUCAUGACUAAAUGCUCACAACACAACUAAAAACCAAAAUAUGCUUCAAGAGUUAAGGUAGAAUCAAGAAGAACUCAUGAACCUCAAAAUAGAAGCAAGGUACCAAGAACUUACCUUCAAUUUUCCUCCUCCUAAUGAUCGAAUACUCAAGAGCUUUCUCCUCUCCUUUCUCUUCUCUAACUUUUAGCUAUGAUGAACAAAGAUGGACAAAACUUUGUUCUUUUCACCCCUUUUUCUUUUAAUAAAACUUCAUAUUUCAUCCAUUUAAUUCUUUAAUACAAAAGACAUGAAAUUCUUAUCAUGAAACAUUUACCUAACCCAUUAUCAUGAAACAUUUACCUAACCCAUUAUCAUGGAACAUUUACCUAACCUAUUAUCAUGGAACAUUUACCUAACCUAUUAUCAAUUUGUAUCAAUUUGUACCAUAAAUUAUGGAUAUCAAGUGUACAUUUUGUCUACAACAACAUGAUGGCUGGCCACUUCAUGUAAAAUGGGAGGUUUUUCAUGCAAAUCCUCCUAUUUUGCACUCCUAUUUAUUUGGCCACUUCAAUUUAGCCUAUAGCAUUUUCAAACAUUUUCACAUAGAGUUUAUUUCAUAAUUUCACCCCCUUUUUGUUAUGGAACAAAAAUUAACUAAAAUUGUCGGGUUCUAUCUUAAGUUUGGGCUUUCUAGAGGCCCACUAACAUAAUUAAACCUAUGCCAACAUUCACAGGAUUCCUGAAAAUUGGGGCAUUACAACUCUACCCUCCUUAAAGAAAUUUCGACCUCGAAAUUUACCCAAUCCAAACAGAUGAGGGUAUUGCUGUUGCAUCGUCUCUUCUGGCUCCCAAACUCAGAAGUUUCCCCUUCCUUAACUUGUUGAAAACGAGCGACCAAAGACUCAUCGUUCAUCUAUUUUUCCUUAAUGUGAUCCACCCAAGUUGGCCUCACUUACAACUCAGCCAACAGACUUCCAUCAUCAUACAGAUUCAGACGAGCAAACAUUGCUCUCAGAUCAGAUACAGCUCUACGACUUAGAGCAUCGGCUACCACAUUAGCCUUGCUUGGGUGAUACUCGAUUGAACAGUCAUAAUCCUUAAGCAACUCAAUCCAUCUCCUUUGCCUAAGGUUCAGCUCCUUCUGAGUCAACAAAUACUUAAGACUCUUAUGGUCAGUGUAUAUAAUACACCUUUCUCAAUAUAAGUAAUGUCUCCAAAUCUUAAGUGCAAAUAUCACUGCUGCCAACUCUAAAUCAUGAGUCAAAUAGUUUGCCUCAUGAGGCUUAAGCUAUCGUGAUGCAUAUGCAACCACCUUACCCUCUUGCAUUAACACGCAGCCCAAACCCACGUGUGAUGCGUCACUGUACACAGUAAAAUCAUUCCCAGACUCUGGCUGAGUUAACACAGGUGCUUUAAUCAGAACUUUCUUCAACUUCUCAAAAGCUUCAUGUUGCUUCUCAGUCCAUACAAACGGUACUCCUUUCCUUAUGAGUUUUGUCAGGGGUGUUGCCAUAACAGAAAAAAUCCUUUUACGAACCUUCGGUAAUAGCCUGCCAAACCUAGAAAACUCCGAAUUUCCGAUACUGAUUUUGGUGGCUUCCAUCCCAGAACUGCCUCAACUUUUCGAGGAUCCACUCUAAUUCCUUCAGCAGAAACCACAUGACCUACAAAAGCCACUUCUCGCAACCAAAAUUCACACUUACUAAACUUUGCAUAUAGUUCCUUCUCUCUCAGCACUUGCAGCACAAUACGUAGAUGCUCCUCAUGUUUCGUUUCAGUUUCAGAAUAUACCAGGAUAUCGUCAAUAAAGACGACUACGAACUGAUCCAAAAAUGGUUGGAACACAUGAUUCAUCAGAUCCAUAAACGCUGCAGGAGCGUUCGUCAAUCCAAAUGGAAUAACCAGAAACUCGUAAUGACCAUACCGAGUCCUAAAUGCUGUCUUAUGGAUAUCUGCCUCCUUGACCCUUAACUGAUGAUAUCCAGAUCGAAGGUCGAUCUUGGAAAAUAUAGAAGCUCCUCUAAGCUAGUCAAAUAGAUCGUCAAUCCUUGGCAGUGGAUACUUAUUCUUAAUCAUCAGUUUGUUCAACUGGUAAUAAUCAAUGUACAUCCGCAUCGUACCAUCCUUCUGUUUCACGAAUAGCACUGGUGCUCCCCAUGGAGACACGCUUGGCCUAAUGAAGCCCCUAUCCAACAACUCUUGAAUUUGUGCCUUUAGCUCCACCAACUCCUUCGGUGCCAUUCUAUACGGUGCGAUAGACACUGGUGCCGUUCCAGGCAAUAAGUCGAUUCCAAACUCCACUUCUCGGUUCGGAGGCAAUCUUGGAAGCUCCUCCAGAAAAACAUCUUGGAACUCCUUUAUAGUCCUAACCUUAUCCACUGUCAGUCCCUCCUCUUCCGACUGACUUACAAAUGCCAAAUAGGCCUCACAACCUUUCCGAAUCCACUUCUCGGCUCUUAAUGCCGACACCACAUUGGACAAAUAAUCCCUUCGCUCACCUAUCACCAUAACCUCCUCAUCCUUUGUGGUCCUUAACACCAUUCAUUUAGCAGAACAAUCCAGGGUCGCCUUAUGCACAUUGCCUGUGACAAGGCAUCAUCUUUGGCACCGCGAUCAUGAGACUCUACCUCUGUUGCCGGUGGUAUCGGUGCAUCCACCACCGGCAUAUGUCUCGAAGACGAAGAUCUCGCUCGAGCACUUUCUCGGCUCCAUCCAUGGCCUCUUGUACUCAUAUUGUAUUAUCUCGAUUACGAAUUUUUAUGCAUCAAUUAAUAUUCCAGUGUUUAUUACAGAUGUUUUAUGAAUCAGACAGUAGUUCAGAGUUUGUUUUGGCAGAAUCGAAGUCUAGCUACAGUUUCAGUCUCUUAUCAGAUUUUCCUAUGGUUUCAGUAUCAUCCUAUCUAGAGUAUCCUAAUAGGGUUUUAGUACAGACAGAUAUUUCAGGAAAAUAUUCAGAAAAGUUCAGAGUAAUACUUACAGGCUUGGGCCGGAGAUUCGGAAUGCCACUUUCCAAAGAUCUAAAUUUUAAAAAUCGAGUUUUUCGCAUUCUUUAUAAAAUUUUCGCUUUCGAAAUUUUUUUUUGUAAACUCAUUCCACAGCCGAGUUGUUGCAACCUAGGCUCUGAUACCACUAAAUAUAACACCCCAAACCCGGCCCAGAAGUUAUGGCCGGAUCCGGCAUGCCACAUCAAAAACGUUUAAAAAAAUUUUCCAUUCUAAGCCCAGAAAAUCGUACUUGAUGUUCAAAAGAUUAAUUCAUUAAGGAUUAAAGUGAAUGGAAGCUGUGACAGCCCUAAAUUGACCCUAGUCGGGAAGUGGUUUUAGAACCGCUAAACUGAGUCACCGAAGUAUUUGAAUGUGAUAUUUAUUGUCUAGAAUAUGUGAAUAUGAAUGUGUGAAAGUUUUAAGCUUCGAUUUAGUCGAUUGCAUGUGAAUUUAGUUAAUAGGACUUAUGUGAGAAAAUUUAGAAAUGUGCUAGGCAAAUGUAAGUGGCCUAUUAAUGCAUGUUAUAAAGAUGAUGGGUUUGCAUGUCAAAUUACCCAAAAUUUGAACUAGUGGCCGGCCAUGCUAUGGGUUAAAAGGUAUUAUAAACAUUUAUGUUAGUGUUUUAUGUUAGGAAUAAUAAAAUAAGGAGCAUGGGUGAUGAAAAAAAAGAGAAAAAAAAAAGUUCUCAUUUUGCUCUUAUUGACUGAAAAAUCAAAAGAAAGAAAGGAAGAAAGGUUGAAGAGGUUCGGCCAUACUUGUAACUAGGUUGAGGUAUGUUUGAUGUUAUUCCAUGAAAUUCAUGCAUAUUUUUAGUUGUUAGAUUGAAUUCUACCUAGCCCAUGGUUUAAAUCUUUGCUAUGUGAUGGAGAUGAUACUCGGCCAUGGAUGUUGUCCUUCUUGGUUGGUGUUUGAUGUUGUGUUGAUGAGGUAUGAAGAUGAUAGAGUUUGAGUGCUCAACAAAAAGGAUUGGAUGUGAGUGUGUGUGAGAAUUUGAAAAAGGUAGGUCUUAGCAACUUCAUGAAGCAUUCGGCCAUGGUAGGAAGUAGAAGAGAAAUAUAGUUGUUGUUCAUGUUAGAUGAAGUAGAGUCUAACAAAUGAGCACAUAUGUGCAUUAGUUGCUAGAUGGAGAAAAAUCGGCUAGCAAGUUGUGUACUAAGGCCGAAUGUGACUUUGAAUAUUAUUGAGUAAUGUAUGUGUUUUGAAAUGAUGGAAUGGAGAGGAUGCUUUAAUUGUGUUAUGAACAAUUAUAUGUUAAAUUAAGGGUUGCUAAGCUAGCUAUUAAGGUGAAGUGCAAAUGUUAGUAUUUGAGUACUAGUGUAUAUAUGUGUUUUAGCCGAGCUUUGAACUUGAAACAAAAUGGUAAUUAGUCAAUACAAGUGACCAUAUUUGUAGACUGUAUUAAGUAUACAAUCGGCCUCAACAUAGACAUGCAUAUUCGGCCACAUGAAUGAAUACAUAGAUUGAUGUUGUACGUUCGCCUCUAGGUAAGCAUAUUGAUGGCUUUAUCUUGACUUAGAAAAUCGGCUAAAGGAGAAUAUUGGCUAAUAUGUUGAAUUUGAUUCAUGAUUUCAUACACAUAUGACUCUAAUGCCUAAUAUACAUGGGCUAAGUAGCUUGAGUUUCUCUUUGAUGUUCAAAAUGAUUAAAUCAAUUUAUUUGUUAAAUUAAGCUCAAGAACAAAGGGGAACUAAAUCCGAUAAAGGAAAGGAAAAGGUGAUCGAAUAGCCGUUGAAAUCGUUCGACAACAUCCGAGGUAAGUUUUCGAGUAAUGGAACUUAGAUUAUGAUUCGAUUAGAUCAUGUUAUAAGCAAAUCAAAAUCAUGCUCUUUGUAUGUAGCUAUUGAGCCGAAAAUGAUAAUGCUUGAUAAGUGACUUGUGUUUGAAUUCUAGUUAUGAAAUUGAAAUAUAGAUGUGUCAUGAUUUAUUGAUAUGUGCAUGAAUAUGCAUGAAUAUUCGGAUGAUAACCGGGCCAAGUCCCGAAGGCAUUUGUGCUAGUGACUAAUUCCGGGCUAAGCCCCGAAGGCAUUUGUGCUAGUGACUAAUUUCGGGCUAAGCCCCGAAGGCAUUUGUGUGAGUUACUAUAUCCGGGCUAAGUCCCGAAGGCAUUUGUGCGAGUUACUAUAACCGGGCUAAGUCUCGAAGGCAUUUGAGCGAGUAGCUAUAUCCGGCUAAAUCCCGAAGGUACUUGGUUUGGGAAUGAGCAAUCUUGCUGUAAUAAUUUCAAUUAAUACGCUCGUAAAAUCCCAACGAUGAGGUAUGUUUCGUAUAUGCAUUGGAAUAGUUGAUUCCUUUUAAAUAGUAUUCGCUCAGUCGAUUAAUAAGCUUCCGGCCUUUGGUUAAGUUGAUCCCUUAUGUAUGAAUAUAAGGGUUGGAAAUGUGAAGUAGGUAUGAUUUUGAGAAUAUGUGUAUAUGAAAUUAUCCGUUUAGUCAUAUGAAUGCUAUACUUCAGUUGUGCCUAAUUUCAUUGCUCAAAACUUAUUAAGCAUUAAAUGCUGAUUCCAUUUCUUUGAUUCUCUGUUUUAUAGAUUUUGGUUCGUCAGCUAUCGGACUCAGGAGUGUCAAAGUCGAAGUCACCCACACUAUCAAAGCCCUUUUGGUACUUCUUUAGUUGAACUCUAAUAAUGGCAUGUAUAGGGCUGCCCUUUUGUUGUUAGUCAAGUACUUUUGUAUUGUAUAUAUUUGGAUAGCCAUGCGAAAAUGGCUUAUAUAUUUUGAGCAUAGCGUUAUAAUCAUUUUGUAUAUAUAUGGUUAUUGAGAGGUGUGGAAAUGCUUGGCAAUGAUUAGCCAUUGGAAUGGUGAAUUACGAUCAUAUUUUUGUGCUAUGUAUGUUAAAGGGCUAGUUGAAUCAUGGAAAUUAUGAAAUAGGUAAAGUCUACCUUAAAAACAGAUACCGACAGCAGCAGUGAUGUGAAUAUGAAAAAUCACUAAAAAUAGUAGAAAUAGAUUUAAAUUGUGAAUAAAUUAUGUAAUCGAACCUUGAUGAAUCUAUUUUCAUAUUAAAGUAACGAAACAAUCAUAUGAGCCGUAUUUUAUGCGAUGUUUAAGUUUUCGUGAAAUAGGACCAGAGUGAAUUCUGGAUUCCCUGUUCUGACUUUGGAAGAUCAUUAUAAAUUAACCAGAGAUAAUUAUAAGUCAUACCAUAUAUGUAUAGAUUCCUUUUCGAGUCUAGUUUCUUCAUAAACAAACGGAAUAAGUAUUGAAGCCCUGUACAGGGAGAUAUCUAAGUCGUAAUGCAUGAAGGUCAGAUUAGUCGAACCCUGAAAUUGGGGAGAAUUUAAAUAAUAAACUGUACUAAUUGGCUUGACCAAAAAUUCUAGAAAAAUAUUUGUAGAUGUACAGAACUGGUUUUCGAGUUUUGGAACUUGAGAUAUGAUUUUUAAGGUGACAGUGACGCAGUUAGCCAGCUUGUCUGGAAAUUUUAAAAUGGACUGUGUAAAUAAAUGAAUUAAGUCUGUUUGCACCUCGUGUUCGACUCCGGAAACGGUCUCGGGGACGGGGUGUUACAAUUUUAUUGGUAUCAGAGCUACGGCUUAGUCGAUUCUAGGACUACCGUAAUACGUUUGGGUCUAGCUAUACAUGCCAUUAUGUGAUUAUUUGAUAGUGUGGUGAUUUCUGACAAUUGAAAAUGUGUUUAUUUAUAGUAAUGGAUCCUGAUCCCAACCGAGCGGUAGCUGAUGAUCUUGAGAGUGUAGCGCCUGCUCCCGCACAAGGGACAGUGCCGGCGGACUCUCAACCUAUUGCUAGUAAUCCGAAUGAUGAAGCUAGACAAGCUUUUUAUAGCGUGAUGAAUGAUUGGUUCAACCAAUACAUUCGAACUAAUACGGCUGUUCCACAACCCCCAUUCCCGACUAAUACAACCCCCGCACCUACAAUACCUCCGGUAACUGACCAAAUAAGGUCAAAUAAGCCCUCAGUUGACAGAAUCCGAAAACACGGGGCUACUAAAUUUAAAGCUACGGACAGCGAUGAUGCCGAGCAAGCUGAAUUUUGGUUGGACAACACUAUUCGGGUACUCGAUGAGCUAUCUUGCACACCCGAUGAGUGCCUAAAGUGUACUAUCUCCUUGCUACGUGAUUCUGCCUACUAUUGGUGGAAUACGUUGAUUUUUGUCGUGCCCAGAGAGCAAGUAACUUGGGAUUUUUUCCAAACUGAGUUUCGAAAAAAGUAUAUCAGUCAGAGAUUCAUUGAUCAAAAAUGGAAAGAAUUUCUUAAACUUAAACAGGGUUCCAUGUCGGUUACCGACUAUGAACGAAUGUUUGUAAGGCUCAGCCGGUACGCGUGAGAAUGCAUUUCUUCAGAAACUGUGAUGUGUAAACGUUUCGAAGAUGGACUGAACGAUGAUAUAAAGCUAUAUGUUGGCAUUUUAGAAAUCUGAGAAUUUGUGGUACUUGUCGAGCGAGCUUGCAAAGCCGAGGAGCUCAGUAUGGAGAAAAGAAAAGCUGAUAUGGGAGCAAAGGAGCUUCGUAAGAGGUCUUCGGGGAGGCCUUUUCAACAGUUAUCGAAGAAAUUUAGAGAUGGUUUAGGCCGAUCUAGAGACACUUCAGGCUUUUCUAGACGAGAUCGUGAUCGACCCCCUGUGAGUGCACGAGUCACUUCGGUCGCCAGUGUUGGAAAUGAUCGUCGAGACAGAACGAAGUGUCAGUAUUGUGGUAAAUGGCAUUUGGGGAGUUGUAGAUUCCAUGACCGCUCCUGUUACAAGUGCGGAUCAGCUGACCACUUUAUUAAAGAUUGCCCGAGAUUGUCUGAACAGAAUGUAAAUCAGAGUGGGAAACCUGGUGCUACUACUACUCGGGGUAGACCAUCUAGAAAUACGGGCAAUGCUAGUGGCGGUUAGAGAGGAUCUAGAGAUGCUACAACCAGAUCUGAGGCUCGUGCUCCUGCUAGAGCUUAUGCUAUACGUGCACGCGAGGAUGCUUCCUCGCCAGAUGUUAUUACCGGUACUUUUACUCUCUUUGAUACUAAUGUGAUUGCUUUGAUUGACCCUGGUUCUAGUCAUUCUUAUAUAUGUGAAACCUUAGCAUCCAGUAAGACUUUACCUGUUGAGUCUACUGAGUUCGUAAUUCGGGUGUCAAAUCCCUUGGGUCGUUACGUGCUUGUCGACAAAGUGUGUAAGAAAUUUCCCCUAGUAAUCCGAGGUUCCUAUUUUCCGGCCGAUUUGAUGCUUUUACCGUUUGAUGAAUUUGAUGUUAUCCUCGGUAUGGAUUGGAUGACCGUACAUGAUGCAAUUGUGAAUUGCAAAAGAAAAACCAUCGAUUUGAGGUGUGUAAAUAACGAGAUAAUCCGAGUUGAGUCUACUGACUUAAAUAGGUUGCCAGCUGUAAUAUCAUCGAUGUUGGCUUAGAAAUAUGUAAGAAAGGGGUGUGAAGCAUACCUUGCAUAUGUACUUGAUGACAAAGGGUUAGAAAAGAAGCCUGAAUCUGUGCCGGUGGUUUGUGAAUAUCUGGAUGUUUUUCCCGAAGAAUUACCGGGUUUACCACCUGUUCGGGAGGUAGAGUUUGGCAUCAAGCUUGUACCUGGGACUACACCGAUUUCGAUAGCUCCGUAUCGUAUGGCACCAAUAGAAUUAAAGGAAUUGAAAGCUCAGUUGCAAGAGUUGAUGGAUAGAGGUUUCGCUCGACCAAGUUUCUCACAUUGGGGUGCACCAGUAUUGUUUGUGAAAAAGAAGGACGGAACCAUGAGGUUGUGCAUCGACUAUCGUCAGCUGAAUAAGGUGAAAAUAAAGAAUAAAUAUCUGAUACCGUGCAUUGACGAUUUAUUUGAUCAACUAAAGGGAGCCUCAGUGUUUUCAAAGAUAGAUUUGAGAUCGGGUUAUUAUCAGUUGCGAAUCCGAGAUUCGGAUAUACCCAAAACUACUUUCAGAAUGAGAUACGGUCACUACGAAUUCUUAGUGAUACCGUUUGGGCUCACUAAUACCCCCGCGGUAUUUAUGGAUUUGAUGAAUUGGAUCUUCAGACAGUAUUUGGACCGGUUUGUAGUUGUGUUUAUUGAUGAAAUCUUAGCCUAUUCAAGACAUGAGACGGAACAUGCUGAGCACCUGAGAUUAGUGUUGCGGAUUUUACGGGAUAAGCAGUUAUAUGCUAAGUUCAGUAAGUGUGAGUUCUGGUUAAGAGAGGUUAGCUUCUUGGGUCAUGUGGUAUCUGCAUCGGGCAUCCGAGUUGAUCCGAGCAAAAUUUCAGCCAUACUUAACUGGAAGCCUCUGAGAAAUAUUACUGAGGUUCGGAGCUUUUUGGGACUUGCCAGUUACUACAGACGGUUUGUAAAGGGUUUCUCGAUGAUAGCCACACUAAUGACAAAACUACUUCAGAAAGAUGUUGAGUUUGAAUGGACAGAAAAGUGUCAGAAAAGUUUCGAUCAAUUGAAAACUCAUUUGACGGAAGCUCCAGUACUAGUGCAGCCCGAAUCAGGAAAGGAGUUCGUCAUCUACAGUGAUGCAUCUUUACUUGGGAUGGGUUGUGUAUUGAUGCAAGAAGGUCGAGUUGUAGCUUACGCGUCAAGACAAUUGAAGACACAUGAGAAAAAUUAUCCAACCCAUGACCUCGAAUUAGCUGCCAUCGUAUUCGCUUUGAAAAUAUGGCGACAUUACUUAUUUGGUGAGAAGUGCCAUGUAUUUUCGGAUCACAAAAGUCUCAAAUAUUUGAUGACUCAAAGAGACUUGAAUCUACGACACAGACGUUGGCUCGAGUUGUUAAAAGAUUAUGAGCUUGUCAUUGACUAUCACCCAGGAAAGGCUAAUGUGGUUGCGGAUGCUUUGAGUCAUAAAGCACUGUUUGCUUUACGAGCAAUGAAUGUAAACUUGUCCGUUCUAUCCGACAAUGUGUUAGUAGCGGAAUUAAAGGCUAGACCAUUGUUGAUUCAUCAAAUUCGUGAAGCUCAGAAAGUUGAUGAUGAAUUAGUUGCAAAACGGGCUAAACGUGUUUCGAAUAUGGAAUCAGAGUUUCAAAUUGAUGAUGACGAUUGUUUGAGGUUCAGAAGUCGUUUGUGUGUUCCAAGAAAUUCAGAACUUAUUUCGACGAUUCUGAAUGAAGCUCAUUGUAGCCGAAUGUCAAUUCACCCGGGGAGUACGAAAAUGUAGAACGACCUGAGACGUCAGUUUUGGUGGCAUGGUAUGAAACAAGACAUUUCCGAUUUUGUUUCGAAGUGUUUAAUAUGCCAACAAGUGAAAGCGGAACAUCAAGUGCCUACAGGUUUACUUCAGCCGAUCAUGAUAACUGAAUGGAAAUUGGAACGAAUCACGAUGGACUUUGUAUCUGGGUUACCAUUCUCGGCGAGUAAGAAAGAUGCGAUUUGGGUUGUUGUUGAUAGACUGACUAAGUCGGCUCAUUUUAUUCCCGUACGUACGGAUUAUUCAUUGGAUAAACUAGCUGAAUUGUAUGUUUCUCAGAUUGUGAGAUUACACGGGGUACCCAUUUCUAUUGUGUCGGAUAGAGAUCCGAGAUUCACCUCGCGAUUUUGGAAGAAAUUGCAAGAAGCUUUGGGUACCAAGUUGCAUUUUAGCACCGCUUUUCAUCCCCAAACCGAUGGUCAAUCCGAGCGGAUAAUUCAGAUACUCGAGGAUAUGUUAAGAUGUUGCAUCCUUGAGUUUAGUGGUUCACGGGAACGGUAUUUACCUUUGAUUGAAUUCGCUUACAACAAUAGUUUUCAAUCAAGUAUUAAGAUGGCACCUUACGAGGCUUUGUACGGUCGUAAAUGCCGUACACCAUUGCUUUGGACCGAGCUCGGUGAAAGUAAAAUUUUCGGGGUUGAUUUAAUUAAAGAUGCUGAGCGGAAAGUAAAAAUAAUUCGUGAAAGUCUGAAGGCAGCAUCCAAUCGUCAGAAGUCGUACGCGGAUUUAAAACGAAGAGAUAUUGAGUAUCAGGUGGGAGACAAAGUGUUUCUUAAGGUUUCACCUUGGAAAGAGAUACUCAGAUUUGGCCGUAAGGGCAAACUGAGUCCAAGAUUCAUUGGGCCAUAUGAAAUCUCCGAACGAGUUGGUCCAGUUGCAUAUAGGUUACUUUUACCCCCUGAACUUGAAAGGAUUCACAACGUUUUUCAUGUUUCGAUGCUUCGGCGUUACAGAUCUGAUCCUUCGCACAUAAUUAGUCUAUCAGAGGUCGAAAUACAAUCUGACUUGAGUUAUGAAGAAGAACCGAUUCGUAUCCUAGCUUGUGAAGUGAAAGAGUUGCGAAACAAAAAGGUUCCUUUAGUAAAAGUGUUAUGGCUCAAACACGGGAGGGAAGAAGCUACCUGGGAACCCAAGAACUCUAUGAAAGAACGAUACCCAAACCUAUUUACCGGUAAGAUUUUCGGGGACGAAAAUUUCUUAAAGUGUGGGAGAGUUGUGACAGCCCUAAAUUGACCCUAGUCGGGAAGUGGUUUAAGGACCGCUAAACCGAGUCACCGAAGUAUUUGAAUGUGAUAUUUAUUGUUUAGAAUAUGUGAAUAUGAAUGUGUGAAAGUUUUAAGCUUCGAUUUAGUCGAUUACAUGUGAAUUUAGUUAAUAGGACUUAUGUGAGAAAAUUUAGAAAUGUGCUAGGCAAAUGUAAGUGGCCUAUUAAUGCAUGUUAUAAAGAUGAUGGGUUUGCAUGUCAAAUUACCCAAAAUUUGAACUAGUGGCCGGCCAUGCUAUGGGUUAAAAGGUAUUAUAAACAUUUUAUGUUAGUGUUUUAUGUUAGGAAUAAUAAAAUAAGGAGCAUGGGUGAUGAAAAAAAAAAGAGAAAAAAAAAGUUCUCAUUUUGCUCUUAUUGACCGAAAAAUCAAAGGAAAGAAAGGAAGAAAGUUUGAAGAGGCUCGGCCAUGCUUGUAACUAGGUUGAGGUAUGUUUGAUGUUAUUCCAUGAAAUUCAUGCAUAUUUUUAGUUGUUAGCUUGAAUUCUAGCUAGCCCAUGGUUUAAAUCUUUGCUAUGUGAUGGAGAUGAUACUCGGCCAUGGAUGUUGUCCUUCUUGGUUGGUGUUUGAUGUUGUGUUGAUGAGGUAUGAAGAUGAUAGAGUUUGAGUGCUCAACAAAAAGGAUUGGAUGUGAGUGUGUGUGAGAAUUUGAAAAAGGUAGGUCUUAGCAACUUCAUGAAGCAUUUGGCCAUGGUAGGAAGUAGAAGAGAAAUAUAGUUGUUGUUCAUGUUAGAUGAAGUAGAGUCUAACAAAUGAGCACAUAUGUGCAUUAGUUGCUAGAUGGAGAAAAAUCGGCUAGCAAGUUAUGUACUAAGGCCGAAUGUGACUUUGAAUAUUAUUGAGUAAUGUAUGUGUUUUGAAAUGAUGGAAUGGAGAGGAUGCUUUAAUUGUGUUAUGAACAAUUAUAUGUUAAAUUAAGGGUUGCUAAGCUAGCUAUUAAGGUGAAGUGCAAAUGUUAGUAUUUGAGUACUAGUGUAUAUAUGUGUUUUAGCCGAGCUUUGAACUUGAAACAAAAUGGUAAUUAGUCAAUACAAGUGACCAUAUUUGUAGACUGUAUUAAGUAUACAAUCGGCCUCAACAUAGACAUGCAUAUUCGGCCACAUGAAUGAAUACAUAGAUUGAUGUUGUACAUUCGGCUAUAGGUAAGCAUAUUGAUGGCUUUAUCUUGACUUAGAAAAUCGGCUAAAGGAGAAUAUUGGCUAAUAUGUUGAAUUUGAUUCAUGAUUUCAUACACAUAUGACUCUAAUGCCUAAUAUACAUGGGCUAAGUACCUUGAGUUUCUCUUUGAUGUUCAAAAUGAUUAAAUCAAUUUAUUUGUUAAAUUAAGCUCAAGAACAAAGGGGAACUAAAUCCGAUAAAGGAAAGGAAAAGGUGAUCGAAUAGCCGUUGAAAUCGUUCGACAACAUCCGAGGUAAGUUUUCGAGUAAUGGAACUUAGAUUAUGAUUCGAUUAGAUCAUGUUAUAAGCAAAUCAAAAUCAUGCUCUUUGUAUGUAGCUAUUGAGCCGAAAAUGAUAAUGCUUGAUAAGUGACUUGUGUUUGAAUUCUAGUUAUGAAAAUGAAAUAUAGAUGUGUCAUGAUUUAUUGAUAUGUGCAUGAAUAUUCGGAUGAUAACCGGGUUAAGUCCCGAAGGCAUUUGUGCUAGUGAGUAAUUCCGGGCUAAGCCCUGAAGGCAUUUGUGCUAGUGACUAAUUCCGGGCUAAGCCCCGAAGGCAUUUGUGCGAGUUACUAUAUCCGGGCUAAGUCCCGAAGGCAUUUGUGCGAGUUACUAUAACCGGGCUAAGUCCCGAAGCCAUUUGAGCGAGUAGCUAUAUCCGGCUAAAUCCCGAAGGUACUUGGUUUGGGAAUGAGCAAUCUUGCUGUAAUAAUUUCAAUUAAUACGCUCGUAAAAUCCCAACGAUGAGGUAUGUUUCAUAUAUGCAUUGGAAUAGUUGAUUCCUUUUAAAUAGUAUUCCCUCAGUCGAUUAAUAAGCUUCCGGCCUUUGGUUAAGUUGAUCCCUUAUGUAUGAAUAUAAGGGUUGGAAAUGUGAAGUAGGUAUGAUUUUGAGAAUAUGUGUAUAUGAAAUUAUCCGUUUAGUCAUAUGAAUGCUAUACUUCAGUUGUGCCUAAUUUCAUUGCUCAAAACUUACUAAGCAUUAAAUGCUGAUUCUGUUUCUUUGAUUCUCUGUUUUAUAGAUUUUGGUUCGUCAGCUAUCAGACUCGGGAGUGUCAAAGUCGAAGUCGCCCACACUAUCAAAGCCCUUUUGGUACUUCUUUAGUUGAACUCUGAUAAUGGCAUGUAUAGGGCUGCCCUUUUGUUGUUAGUCAAGUACUUUGGUAUUGUAUAUAUUUGGAUAGCCAUGCGAAAAUGGCUUAUAUAUUUUGAGCAUAGCGUUAUAAUCAUUUUGUAUAUAUAUGGUUAUUGAGAGGUGUGGAAAUGCUUGGCAAUGAUUAGCCAUUGGAAUGGUGAAUUACGAUCAUAUUUUUGUGCUAUGUAUGUUAAAGGGCUAGUUGAAUCAUGGAAAUUAUGAAAUAGGUAAAGUCUACCUUAAAAACAGAUACCGACAGUAGUAGUGAUGUGAAUAUGAAAAAUCACUAAAAAUAGUAGGAAUAGAAUUAAAUUGUGAAUAAAUUAUGUAAUCUAACCUUGAUGAAUCUAUUUUCAUAUUAAAGUAACGAAACGAUCAUAUGAGCCGUAUUUCAUGCGAUGUUUAAGUUUUCGUGAAAUAGGGCCAGAGUGAAUUCUGGAUUCCCUGUUCUGACUUUGGAAGAUCAUUAUAAAUUAACCAGAGAUAAUUAUAAGUCAUACUAUAUAUGUAUAGAUUCCUUUUCGAGUCUAGUUUCUUUAUAAACAAACGGAAUAAGUAUUGAAGCCCUGUACAGGGAGAUAUCUAAGUCGUAAUGCAUAAAGGUCAGAGUAGUCAAACCCUGAAACAGGGGAGACUUUAACUAAUAAACUGUACUAAUUGGCUUGACCAAAAAUUCUAGAAAAAUAUUUGUUGAUUUCCAUAUGAGUCUAGUUUCAGGAAAAAUUUACAGAACUGGUUUUCGAGUUUUGGAACUUGAGAUAUGAUUUUUAAGGUGAAAGUGACGCAGUUAGCCAGCUUGUCUGGAAAUUUUAAAAUGGACUGUGUAAAUAAAUGAAUUAAGUCUGUUUGCACCUCGUGUUCGACUCCGGAAACGGUCUCGGGUACGGGGUGUUACAAUUUUAUUUGUAUCAGAGCUACGGUUUAGUCGAUUCUAGGACUACCGUAAUACGUUUGGGUCUAGCUAUACAUGCCAUUAUGUGAUUAUUUGAUAGUGUGGUGAUUUCUGACAAUUGAAAAUGUGUUUAUUUAUAGUAAUGGAUCCUGAUCCCAACCGAGUAGUAGCUGAUGAUCUUGAGAGUGUAGCGCCUGCUCCCGCACUAGGGACAGCACCGGUGGACUCUCAACCUAUUGCUAGUAAUCCGAAUGAUGAAGCUAGACAAGCUUUCUAUAGCGUGAUGAAUGAUUGGUUCAACCAAUACAUUCGAACUAAAACGGCUGUUCCACAACCCCCAUUCCCGACUAAUACAACCCCCGCACCUACAAUACCUCCGGUAACUGACCAAAUAAGGUCAAAUAAGCCCCCAGUUGACAGAAUCCGAAAACACGGGGCUACUAAAUUUAAAGCUACGGACAGCGAUGAUGCCGAGCAAGCUAAAUUUUGGUUGGACAACACUAUUCGGGUACUCGAUGAGCUAUCUUGCACACCCGAUGAGUGCCUAAAGUGUACUAUCUCCUUGCUACGUGAUUCUGCCUACUAUUGGUGGAAUACGUUGAUUUCUGUCGUGCCCAGAGAGCAAGUAACUUGGGAGUUUUUCCAAACCGAGUUUCGAAAAAAGUAUAUCAGUCAGAGAUUCAUUGAUCAAAAAUGGAAAGAAUUUCUUGAACUUAAACAGGGUUCCAUGUUGGUUACCGACUAUGAACGAAUGUUUGUAAGGCUCAGCCGGUACGCGCGAGAAUGCAUUUCUUCAGAAACUGUGAUGUGUAAACGUUUCGAAGAUGGACUGAACGAUGAUAUAAAGCUAUAUGUUGGCAUUUUAGAAAUCUGAGAAUUUGUGGUACUUGUCGAGCGAGCUUGCAAAGCCGAGGAGCUCAGUAUGGAGAAAAGAAAAGCUGAUAUGGGAGUAAAGGAGCUUCGUAAGAGGUCUUCGGGGAGGCCUUUUCAACAGUUAUCGAAGAAAGUUAGAGAUGGUUUAGGCCGAUCUAGAGACACUUCAGGCUUUUCUAGACGAGAUCGUGAUCGACCCCCUAUGAGUGCACGAGUCACUUCGGUCGCCAGUGUUGGAAAUGAUCGUCGAGACAGAACGGAGUGUCAGUAUUGUGGUAAAUGGAAUUUGGGGAGUUGUAGAUUCCAUGACCGCUCCUGUUACAAGUGCGGAUCAGCUGACCACUUUAUUAAAGAUUGCCUGAGAUUGUCUGAACAGAAUGUAAAUCAGAAUGGGAAACCUGGUGCUACUACUACUCGGGGUAGACCAUCUAGAAAUACGGGCAAUGCUAGUGGCGGUUAGAGAGGAUCUAGAGAUGCUACAACCAGAUCUGAGGCUCGUGCUCCUGCUAGAGCUUAUGCUAUACGCGCACGCGAGGAUGCUUCCUCGCCAGAUGUUAUUACCGGUACUUUUACUCUCUUUGAUACUAAUGUGAUUGCUUUGAUUAAACCUGGUUCUACUCAUUCUUAUAUAUGUGAAACCUUAGCAUCCAGUAAGACUUUACCUGUUGAGUCUACUGAGUUCGUAAUUCGGGUGUCAAAUCCCUUGGGUCGUUACGUGCUUGUCGACAAAGUGUGUAAGAAAUGUCCCCUAGUAAUCCGAGGUUCCUAUUUUCCAGCCGAUUUGAUGCUUUUACCGUUUGAUGAAUUUGAUGUUAUCCUCGGUAUGGAUUGGAUGACCGUACAUGAUGCAAUUGUAAAUUGCAAAAGAAAAACCAUCGAUUUGAGGUGUGUAAAUAACGAGAUAAUCCGAGUUGAGUCUACUGACUUAAAUAGGUUGCCAGCUGUAAUAUCAUCGAUGUUGACUUAGAAAUAUGUAAGAAAGGGGUGUGAAGCAUACCUUGCAUAUGUACUUGAUGACAAAGGGUUAGAAAAGAAGCCUGAAUCUGUGCCGGUGGUUUGUGAAUAUCUGGAUGUUUUUCCCGAAGAAUUACCGGGUUUACCACCUGUUCGGGAGGUAGAGUUUGGCAUCAAGCUUGUACCUGGGAUUACACCGAUUUCAAUAGCUCCGUAUCGUAUGGCACCAACAGAAUUAAAGGAAUUGAAAGCUCAGUUGCAAGAGUUGAUGGAUAGAGGUUUCGCUCGACCAAGUUUCUCACCUUGGGGUGUACCAGUAUUGUUUGUGGAAAAGAAGGACAGAACCAUGAGGUUGUGCAUCGACUAUCGUCUGCUGAAUAAGGUGACAAUAAAGAAUAAAUAUCCGAUACCGCGCAUUGACGAUUUAUUUGAUCAACUAAAGGGAGCCUCAGUGUUUUCAAAGAUAGAUUUGAGAUCGGGUUAUUAUCAGUUGCGAAUCCGAGAUUCGGAUAUACCCAAAACUACUUUCAGAACGAGAUACGGUCACUACGAAUUCUUAGUGAUGCCGUUUGGGCUCACUAAUGCCCCCGCGGUAUUUAUGGAUUUGAUUAACUGGAUCUUCAGACAGUAUUUGGACCGGUUUGUAGUUGUGUUUAUUGAUGACAUCUUAGCCUAUUCAAGAGAUAAGACGGAACAUGCUGAGCACCUGAGAUUAGUGUUGCGGAUUUUACGGGAUAAGCAGUUAUAUGCUAAGUUCAGUAAGUGCGAGUUCUGGUUAAGAGAGGUUAGCUUCUUGGGUCAUGUGGUGUCUGCAUCGGGCAUCCGAGUUGAUCCGAGCAAAAUUUCAGCCAUACUUAACUGGAAGCCUCCGAGAAAUAUUACUGAGGUUCGGAGCUUUUUGGGACUUGCCGGUUACUACAGACGGUUUGUAAAGGGUUUCUCGAUGAUAGCCACACUAAUGACAAAACUACUUCAGAAAGAUGUUGAGUUUGAAUGGACAGAAAAGUGUCAGAAAAGUUUCGAUCAAUUGAAAACUCAUUUGACGGAAGCUCCAGUACUAGUGCAGCCCGAAUCAGGCAAGGAGUUCGUCAUCUACAGUGAUGCAUCUUUACUUGGGUUGGGUUGUGUAUUGAUGCAAGAAGGUCGAGUUGUAGCUUACGCGUCAAGACAAUUGAAGACACAUGAGAAAAAUUAUCCAACCCAUGAUCUCGAAUUAGCUGCCAUCGUAUUCACUUUGAAAAUAUGGCGACAUUACUUAUUUGGUGAGAAGUGCCAUGUAUUUUUGGAUCACAAAAGUCUCAAAUAUUUGAUGACUCAAAGAGACUUGAAUCUACGACAAAGAUGUUGGCUCGAAUUGUUAAAAGAUUAUGAGCUUGUCAUUGACUAUCACCCAGGAAAGGCUAAUGUGGUUGCGAAUGCUUUGAGUCAUAAAGCACUGUUUGCUUUACGAGCGAUGAAUGUAAACUUGUCCGUUCUAUCCGACAAUGUGUUAGUAGCGGAAUUAAAGGCUAGACCAUUGUUGAUUCAUCAAAUUCGUGAAGCUCAGAAAGUUGAUGAUGAAUUAGUUGCAAAACGGGCUGAACGUGUUUCGAAUAUGGAAUCAGAGUUUCAAAUUGAUGGUGACGAUUUUUUGAGGUUCAGAAGUCGUUUGUGUGUUCCAAGAAAUUCAGAACUUAUUUCAACGAUUCUGAAUGAAGCUCAUUGUAGCCGAAUGUCAAUUCACCCGGGGAGUACGAAAAUGUACAACGACCUGAGACGUCAGUUUUGGUGGCAUGGUAUGAAACGAGACAUUUCCGAUUUUGUUUCGAAGUGUUUAAUAUGCCAACAAGUGAAAGCGGAACAUCAAGUGCCUACAGGUUUACUUCAGCCGAUCAUGAUACCUGAAUGGAAAUGGGAACGAAUCACGAUGGACUUUGUAUCUGGGUUACCAUUGUCGGCGAGUAAGAAAGAUGCGAUUUGGGUUGUUGUUGAUAGACUGACUAAGUCGGCUCAUUUUAUUCCCGUACGUACGGAUUAUAUAUUGGAUAAACUAGCUGAAUUGUAUGUUUCUCAGAUUGUGAGAUUACACGGGGUACCCAUUUCUAUUGUGUCGGAUAGAGAUCCGAGAUUCACCUCGCGAUUUUGGAAGAAAUUGCAAGAAGCUUUGGGUACCAAGUUGCAUUUUAGCUCCGCUUUUCAUCCCUAAACCGAUGGUCAAUCCGAGCGGAUAAUUGAGAUACUCGAGGAUAUGUUAAGAUGUUGCAUCCUUGAGUUUAGUGGUUCACGGGAACGGUAUUUACCUUUGAUUGAAUUCGCUUACAACAAUAGUUUUCAAUCAAGUAUUAAGAUGGCACCUUACGAGGCUUUGUACGGUCGUAAAUGCCGUACACCAUUGUUUUGGACCGAGCUCGGUGAAAGUAAAAUUUUCGGGGUUGAUUUAAUUAAAGAUGCUGAGUGGAAAGUAAAAAUAAUUCGUGAAAGUCUGAAGGCAGCAUCCAAUCGUCAGAAGUCGUACGCGGAUUUAAAACGAAGAGAUAUUGAGUAUCAGGUGGGAGACAAAGUGUUUCUUAAGGUUUCACCUUGGAAAAAGAUACUCAGAUUUGGCCGUAAGGGCAAACUGAGUCCAAGAUUCAUUGGGCCAUAUGAAAUCUCCGAACGAGUUGGUCCAGUUGCAUAUAGGUUACUUUUACCCCCUGAACUUGAAAGGAUUAACAACGUUUUUCAUGUUUCGAUGCUUCGACGUUACAGAUCUGAUCCUUCGCACAUAAUUAGUCCAUCAGAGGUCGAAAUUCAAUCUGACUUGAGUUAUGAAGAAGAACCGAUUCGUAUCCUAGCUCAUGAAGUGAAAGAGUUGCGAAACAAAAAGGUUCAUUUAGUAAAAGUGUUAUGGCUCAAACACGGGAGGGAAGAAGCUACUUGGGAACCCAAGAACUCUAUGAAAGAACGAUACCCAAACCUAUUUACCGGUAAGAUUUUCGGGGACGAAAAUUUCUUAAAGUGGGGGAGAGUUGUGACAGCCCUAAAUUGACCCUAGUCGGGAAGUGGUUUCGGGACCGCUAAACCGAGUCACCGAAGUAUUUGAAUGUGAUAUUUAUUGUCUAAAAUAUGUGAAUAUGAAUGUGUGAAAGUUUUAAGCUUCGAUUUAGUCGAUUGCAUGUGAAUUUAGUUAAUAGGACUUAUGUAAGAAAAUUUAGAAAUGUGCUAGGCAAAUGUAAGUGGCCUAUUAAUGCAUGUUAUAAAGAUGAUGGGUUUGCAUGUCAAAUUACCCAAAAUUUGAACUAGUGGCCGGCCAUGCUAUGGGUUAAAAGGUAUUAUAAACAUUUUAUGUUAGUGUUUUAUGUUAGGAAUAAUAAAAUAAGGAGCAUGGGUGAUGAAAAAAAAAAGAGAAAAAAAAAGUUCUCAUUUUGCUCUUAUUGACCGAAAAAUCAAAGGAAAGAAAGGAAGAAAGGUUGAAGAGGUUCGGUCAUGCUUGUAACUAGGUUGAGGUAUGUUUGAUGUUAUUCCAUGAAAUCCAUGCAUAUUUUUAGUUGUUAGCUUGAAUUCUAGCUAGCCCAUGGUUUAAAUCUUUGCUAUGUGAUGGAGAUGAUACUCGGCCAUGGAUGUUGUCCUUCUUGGUUGGUGUUUGAUGUUGUGUUGAUGAGGUAUGAAGAUGAUAGAGUUUGAGUGCUCAACAAAAAGGAUUGGAUGUAAGUGUGUGUGAGAAUUUGAAAAAGGUAGGUCUUAGCAACUUCAUGAAGCAUUUGGCCAUGGUAGGAAGUAGAAGAGAAAUAUAGUUGUUGUUCAUGUUAGAUGAAGUAGAGUCUAACAAAUGAGCACAUAUGUGCAUUAGUUGCUAGAUGGAGAAAAAUAGGCUAGCAAGUUGUGUACUAAGGCCGAAUGUGACUUUGAAUAUUAUUGAGUAAUGUAUGUGUUUUGAAAUGAUGGAAUGGAGAGGAUGCUUUAAUUGUGUUAUGAACAAUUAUAUGUUAAAUUAAGGGUUGCUAAGCUAGCUAUUAAGGUGAAGUGCAAAUGUUAGUAUUUGAGUACUAGUGUAUAUAUGUGUUUUAGCCGAGCUUUGAACUUGAAACAAAAUGGUAAUUAGUCAAUACAAGUGACCAUAUUUGUAGACUGUAUUAAGUAUACAAUCGGCCUCAACAUAGACAUGCAUAUUCGGCCACAUGAAUGAAUACAUAGAUUGAUGUUGCACGUUCGGCUAUAGGUAAGCAUAUUGAUGGCUUUAUCUUGACUUAGAAAAUCGGCUAAAAGAGAAUAUUGGCUAAUAUGUUGAAUUUGAUUCAUGAUUUCAUACACAUAUGACUCUAAUGCCUAAUAUACAUGGGCUAAGUACCUUGAGUUUCUCUUUAAUGUUCAAAAUGAUUAAAUCAAUUUAUUUGUUAAAUUAAGCUCAAGAACAAAGGGGAACUAAAUCUGAUAAAGGAAAGGAAAAGGUGAUCGAAUAGCCGUUGAAAUUGUUCGACAACAUCCGAGGUAAGUUUUCGAGUAAUGGAACUUAGAUUAUGAUUCGAUUAGAUCAUGUUAUAAGCAAAUCAAAAUCAUGCUCUUUGUAUGUAGCUAUUGAGCCGAAAAUGAUAAUGCUUGAUAAGUGACUUGUGUUUGAAUUCUAGUUAUGAAAAUGAAAUAUAGAUGUGUCAUGAUUUAUUGAUAUGUGCAUGAAUAUUCGGAUGAUAACCGGGCUAAGUCCUGAAGGCAUUUGUGCUAGUGACUAAUUCCGGGCUAAGCCCCGAAGGCAUUUGUGCUAGUGACUAAUUCCGGGCUAAGCCCCGAAGGCAUUUGUGCGAGUUACUAUAUCCGGGCUAAGUCCCGAAGGCAUUUGUGCGAGUUACUAUAACCGGGCUAAGUCCCGAAGGCAUUUGAGCGAGUAGCUAUAUCCGGCUAAAUCCCGAAGGUACUUGGUUUGGGAAUGAGCAAUCUUGCUGUAAUAAUUUCAAUUAAUACGCUCGUAAAAUCCCAACGAUGAGGUAUGUUUCGUAUAUGCAUUGGAAUAGUUGAUUCGUUUUAAAUAGUAUUCCCUCAGUCGAUUAAUAAGCUUCCGGCCUUUGGUUAAGUUGAUCCCUUAUGUAUGAAUAUAAGGGUUGGAAAUGUGAAGUAGGUAUGAUUUUGAGAAUAUGUGUAUAUGAAAUUAUCCGUUUAGUCAUAUGAAUGCUAUACUUCAGUUGUGCCUAAUUUCAUUGCUCAAAACUUACUAAGCAUUAAAUGCUGAUUCCGUUUCUUUGAUUCUCUGUUUUAUAGAUUUUGGUUCGUCAGCUAUCAGACUCGGGAGUGUCAAAGUCGAAGUCGCCCACACUAUCAAAGCCCUUUUGGUACUUCUUUAGUUGAACUCUGAUAAUGGCAUGUAUAGGGCUGCCCUUUUGUUGUUAGUCAAGUACUUUGGUAUUGUAUAUAUUUGGAUAGCCAUGCGAAAAUGGCUUAUAUAUUUUGAGCAUAGCGUUAUAAUCAUUUUGUAUAUAUAUGGUUAUUGAGAGGUGUGGAAAUGCUUGGCAAUGAUUAGCCAUUGGAAUGGUGAAUUACGAUCAUAUUUUUGUGCUAUGUAUGUUAAAGGGCUAGUUGAAUCAUGGAAAUUAUGAAAUAGGUAAAGUCUACCUUAAAAACAGAUACCGACAGCAGCAGUGAUGUGAAUAUGAAAAAUCACUAAAAAUAGUAGGAAUAGAAUUAAAUUGUGAAUAAAUUAUGUAAUUGAACCUUGAUGAAUCUAUUUUCAUAUGAAAGUAACAAAACGAUCAUAUGAGCCGUAUUUUAUGAGAUGUUUAAGUUUUCGUGAAAUAGGGCUAGAGCGAAUUCUGGAUUCCCUGUUCUGACUUUGGAAAAUCAUUAUAAAUUAACCAGAGAUAAUUAGAAGUCAUACCAUAUAUGUAUAGAUUCAUUUUCUAGUCUAGUUUCUUUAUAAAUAAACGGAAUAAGUAUUGAAGCCCUGUACAAGGAGAUAUCUAAGUCGUAAUGCAUGAAGGUCAGAGUAGUCGAACCCUAAAAUAGGGCAGACUUUAACUAAUAAAAUGUACUAAUUGGCUUGACGAAAAAUUCUAGAAAAAAAUUUGUAGAUGGAAAUAUGAGUUUAGUUUCAGGAAAAAUUUACGAAACUGGUUUUUGAGUUUUGGAACUUGAGAUAUUAUUUUUAAGGUGAUAGUGACGCAGUUAGCCAGCUUGUCUGGAAAUUUUAAAAUGGACUGUGCAAAUAAAUGAAUUAAGUCUGUUUGCACCUCGUGUUCGACUCCGGAAACGGUCUCGGGUACGGGGUGUUACAGAAGCUGUGCACCAGGUAGGAAACCGGAAAAGAGGUGGUGAGUCCAUCGGACUGCUUAAAUACCAAGCUCCCUUCGGAUCCAAUCCUAGACAUGCAUACCGCCAUUGCCACACCUUAACGUCAUGGAUAUUUCUAGGAAACCGAUUUGAUUAAGUCAUUUUUAGGAAAAGUGAUUAAUUUUGGAAAAAUACUUUCAUUGCGGAAGCUUUGCUUGUUGUCGUGUUAUUUUGAAAUCAACUGUUGUUUUUAAAAACGUGCCCUAAAGCUAUCCAAUUUCAACAGUUAAAAUAAGUAAUACCUAUCUUAGUAAUACAUAUUAAAACCAUCAAAAAUAAUUAAGCGGCCUUAUUACAUUUAAAAACCCAAAACUUCAAAUGUAAAUAAAAGGAUGUCCAGUUCACCAGAAGAAAAUCAAACUUUCAGAACGGGUGGCCACUCCGAAUUCCCUCACAGCUCCAAGCCCACUAUGGUUGGGGAUUUCCUGCGUGGAUGAAAAUAAAAGGGGUGAGUUUGGGGAAACUCAGUGUGUAAGGAAAACCCAUUCAAAGCCCAAGUCAGCUCAAGCCUAUUGGGCCUAAGCCCAUUCAGGUAACAGUGGUACUGGGCCAGAGCCCUUUUCAGAUUACAAUAAACUGGGCCUUAGCCCCUUAUUCAGAUAACAGUAUGGCCCAUAGGCCCAUUUCAAAAUACAUGCAACAUCAAUAAACAUAUGCAAGCCCAUUUGGGGAGACUACUCAACCCACCAACCACUACACUCCACCCGUACCAGCCAUACACUCCAUGUGGGGAAUAGCUCAACCCACCCAGCCCAACACUCCACAGUUGCAGCCUUGCUGCUCAGUUAACAAUAAAUUGAGGCAAAGCCUCCAGUACGUGGACAAGCCACUUUCAGUACUUCCUCCGUCAAUAUCCCAGUCCCAUGCAUCAGAUAAUAACAACAUGGCAUGCAGUAAAUAACAACAGUCAAACAUGCAUUUAGGUCAAUUUAACCCUAGGGGUAUUUCGGUAAUUUAUCUCUUAGGGGUAAAACUGUAAAUUUUCCACUUUUAAAGGUAUUUCAGUAAUUUAUCUAUUUUAGGGAUUUUCAUGCAUAUUCCUACUUUUCACGUACUAACAGAAUCACGUACCGAGGGUUCUUACCGGAUUGGGCCCAUUGGCCCAUCAUUCCAAUUUUGGCCCAUUAAGCCCAAAAAUAUCGAGGGCACAGAAAUCAUGCACUUUGCAGUCUAAACAUUGCAGCUUACCAAAAACAUUAAUCGAUUUACCUCACGAGCAUUCGCACACUCGCAAAUCUACAAAAUACCGGUUUUCGGCAUUUCGGCUUUUCAGCUUUUGCCGAUCUAGACUAAGAAAGAGGGUGUUAGUUACACACCUGUUUGCGACAAUAUGCUGACGAGAUCCACACACGAACCGCCUACAAUUGGAUUACUAACACGUUAAUCUAACUAUUCAAAUACAAACUACGUAUUAACCCCUUACAAUAUUCGGCCAACCACACCUACAGAUCAUAGUAAGCUUAUAAGAAAUCAAUAAGCAACUCAUUAACAAAUUUUUGUCAAUGUUUACCACAUAAUCAUAAUUUCACUGCAAGCUGUCUUCCUGAGCAAUAGUCACUAAAUUAUUUAUAACUGGAGCUACGAAAAUCCAAAUCAAGUUCCGUUAAUUUUCCCUGAAAAUAGACUCAUAUAUCUUCUAUCCAUAAAAUUUUCAGAAUUUUUGGUUUAGCCAAUCAAUACCAGAUUUUUCUCAAAGUUUCCCAUGUUUCACUGUUUGACUAAUCUGACCACUCUUCAUUACGAAUCAAAUUUCUCAUUGUACAGAAUUCAAAAUAUGUUCUUGUUUAUUUUAUUUGAAACUAGACUCAUUAAGAUUUAAUUACAUAAUUUAUUCAUCUCCUAAUUCAUCUCCCACAAUUUAUGGUGAUUUUCCAAAGUCAUGUUACUGCUGCUGUCCCAAGCAGAUUUAUUACCAAAUCACUCUUUCACACACCUAUCUUGCAUGCUUAUUAUUUAAAAAUGUAUAUCACCAAUAAAUCAUCACAUAUCUAUGAUUUUACUUAAGUAUAAUCUCCAUUUCAUCAUUUUAAAGCACAACAUGUUAGCCGAUUUUUCCCUUUAGCAUCUAAGGCACAUGCAUGCUCAUUUGUUUGGCUCAACUUCACCUAUCUUCCAUUUUUCAUCAAAAGAACAUGAAACAACAACCAUUUCCUUCAUUUUAAUUCAUGACUAAAUGCUCACAACACAACUAAAAACCAAAAUAUGCUUCAAGAGUUAAGGUAGAAUCAAGAAGAACUCAUGAACCUCAAAAUAGAAGUAAGGUACCAGCAACUUACCUUCAAUUUUCCUCCUCCUAAUGACCGAAUACUCAAGAGCUUUCUCCUCUCCUUUCUCUU
This 26855-nucleotide long non-coding RNA is filed under the name Gossypium barbadense (sea-island cotton). Its description in RNAcentral is "long non-coding RNA (GBAR_LNC008202)". The record is from RNAcentral. Lineage: Eukaryota; Viridiplantae; Streptophyta; Magnoliopsida; Malvales; Malvaceae.